GCCGGGGUGGCGGAAUUGGCAGACGCGCAUGGUUGAGGGCCAUGUGGGGGCAACCCCGUGCGGGUUCAAGUCCCGCCCCCGGCA
This 84-nucleotide transfer RNA is filed under the name Pseudomonadota bacterium. Its description in RNAcentral is "tRNA-Leu". It matches the Rfam family "tRNA". Rfam says of the family: Transfer RNA (tRNA) molecules are approximately 80 nucleotides in length. Their secondary structure includes four short double-helical elements and three loops (D, anti-codon, and T loops). The record is from RNAcentral. RNAcentral also lists the same sequence under 2 other names. Lineage: Bacteria; Pseudomonadati; Pseudomonadota.